CAGGAUUACGUCAAUUGACAUCCACGAAGAAGAACGGUUUGUUUUCAACAAUGGUUUUUACGAAGAAGAAACUGCAGGAUGGGAAUUUUGGAGACAGCGCUGUCCUGAAAGCACAUUUAGAAACCACUACAGCCUGGGGGUGACUAGUUCCAUGUUGCCAGAACUGCAGCAGAAUACCGUUUGCAUCGGAGCCACAGCCAUUCCCCCAUGUCCAACUGCCACAGGCACAUCGGCAACAGGGACUUUGCCGGCCCAUUGGAAAACAUCCGUUGAAGAACCAAAGCCUCCAAAAGGAAAGACAAUAAAGAAACUUGCUCAAACAUCCCAAAAAAGAACAAACAAUGAACCAUCUCAGAAGUGCAAAACACAACAGGCAAAUAAAUCACACUGUAGUUACAGCCCAAGAAGAGGAGGAUAAACAAAGCUGCCAAAAUACAGACACAAACAAAGAUUUUCCUCAAAUACCAGCCACAAACAAAGAAGUCUCUCAAAUGCCCCCAAUAAGGGAAGUGGACAUGGAGGUAAUUGAAACAUGGGACGCAGUGGACAUUCUGACCUACCAGAUCCUAUGGGUUCUCGCUCGCUUAUUUACACACACCAGUGCACAGUACACAAAGACUUUUCUUUUGUAAAGUUAUGUCGGUGAAGAAUGUUUCAUAAAACAAAGUUAGUUUUCAGAACCAAGAGUUGUACAUAGAUACUUUUUAAAUAGAAAACAAAUGUAGACAUACAGUAUCUCAAACAGAGGUUGUCCUCUACUGGUUAAGACCAUGGUCAGUUUUGGUACGUUGGUAUCAGUUUUAAAUGUAGUCAAACAUAUUUUCUUAGUUUCACUCCCUGGUAAAUGCAACGACUUGGGAUUGUUCAAAGUGCUUGCACUAAAGCUGAACAUGCAGAAAACCUGAACAUUUUGAUUAUCAGGAGUGAACUUUACAUUAUUGCCCCUGUCGUUUAAUGAAGGGUCAAUAAUGUUAAUCCAGCUGGAAAAACAUUGUAAAUAUUUUAUUGUUGAAUUGUUUAUUUUGUAUAGUUUAUCUCUAGAUCAAUACGUUUAGUGCUAUCCUGGAUCCUUGGGACAUCCCUAAAGAUUAUGGAUAUACGUCUCUCUACCCUAACAAUGUCGUUGUCCACAAAGCGGCACGGUGGGCUGUCUAGCUCCCGCCUUUCUUUGGAUUGGUGGAGACAUCUCAUUAUUGUAAUCUGUUUUUUAGUGUUUGAUGAGGGUUGUUGACGUCAAUCUCGAGUAUUCAAUGGCGGGAUACACGACUAGCCUUAUAACAUGAAUAUGCAUAGCCAUCUCCGAUAAAACGUGUUUUUUAUCAAAGUUGCUGGGCUGUCACGUGGCCUACUUAUAUCACUCGUACACUCGUAAGCACCAAACGUCUAUUCGAUCAAAUAGACCUCAGGUAGAAAAUGAACCAUUCAUUGACCUCCAUACAAAAACUUGCAUAGUUGCCGAAACAACGAAAAAACCGCCACCUGUUGGAGGGGGACCGGUUUUCCGGCAAAUUAGGCUACUCUUCCUAUCUGGUUUCGACUUUCCUUUUUUAAAAUGUAUUUAUUUUUAUUUGCUCAUUAGGCUAUUCCUUUUAUUGACAUGUUAAAAGCAGAGCAAUGAAUACCAUUAAAGAUCCCACAUUAGAACUCCGUAACAUGAUGCACAGUAAAUAACCUGCAUCAUUACGGAUAACAUUUUUUAUCCAACAGCAACAUGUUUAUGUGCAAUGUGUUGACCUACGUGUUAAAAAUGUAUCUAUGUCCUCAUCUGUUUUUUUGUUUUGUUUUACCUGUCUGCUGUAUUUAUGUUGUCUGUUUUCUGGUUUAGACGUUCUUAAAAAAUAUAUAUUUUUAUUAUACAUUUAUUUUAUUCAUAAUACAAAAAUCAACUUACAUUGCUACAUCAAACAUGUCUAAUAAAUAAAAAGAAAAUACAAAAAAUAAACAAUUUGUG
This is a long non-coding RNA of Oncorhynchus masou masou (cherry salmon), 1951 nucleotides long. RefSeq lists it as uncharacterized. The record is from RefSeq and is a predicted model, not a curated record. Lineage: Eukaryota; Metazoa; Chordata; Actinopteri; Salmoniformes; Salmonidae. The transcript has 3 exons.